GAUGAGUGCCAUCGUUACGAUAUUAUUAUAUUUAUUCCUAUAAGCCACCUAAUAAGUAUGCAACCAGUUAUGCGUUCGUGCUUAGAACGGGUUACCUAGAUUUGUGACCAAAUAUAAUAGAAGGUUGGUACUACGCUUGGGGAAUUCUGGUCUUAGCUUGUGGCUGUACGGCUUCCGACGGAGGGGCAUGUCAUAUCGCCCAUCGGAGAGGAUUGUCACUUCAAUUUUCAAUCUGGUUGGAUGAACAAGUAAAUUUUUCCGUGGUCACUGUUUAAAGAAUACAAUAUUUAGUUAAAAUAUUCAUUUAUUAUAAGAUUGGUUUAUUUUGGAAGGAGCUAUUUUUUGUUUUGGGAUUUGUGCGGUGAGAGGAAGAGUUUUAUUUCCAAGUUUCCUUUUGGAAAACAGUGGCCACGGAAGAAAAUAAGAAGAUGGAAAAUUAAGUCAAUCAUACUUUAAUUUGUUUUUUUGGAAUACAUAAUCAUUUUGGGGAUAUUUUGGAUGGAAUGUGGAUGUUUUGUUUGGUUUUUGUGGAAUAAAAGUUGAGUUUUCCGAUACUGGGCAGCUACCUGCUUGCCGUACCUUCCUGUUGGUGUGGAGUACCUCCCUAGGGUUGGGAACCAGAGGAUACCUUAUUUGGCUCUCCCCUCAUCAUCUUCACCGAAGGUUGGAAGAAGCAAUCCGCCUACUUUUUGUAGGGACAGGUUUUUAUAUAACUAAAUUUGCAUGUCAAUUUGUUUUAAUAAUAACUUCCAAUUUUACUAUUUUUUUUCUCUUCGUAUCAAUAACUUUCAAAUCACUCUAAUAAUAAUAUACCCUCAUUGUUUUUCCUUAACCAUAAUUAACAUAAUAUUCAAUAUUUUCAACAAUUUUUAUUAUAUUUCACCCUUAUUUAAUUUAUUUAAAAUAGCCUGGGAUUUAUAAACCAUAUGUAAGAUAAUGUGCACAGUAUCUAGGUCAUAUCCUAUUUAAUAAUAUUUAUUCCAGUUGUCGGAUGUUGUCACCUCCGAUUAGAUACGGUAUUGUCAACCAAUAUUGUAACCCUCAUUAAUAAUAAGUUGUUAAGGUAAAUACUUAUUCAUACUAAAUUCAUUACAUAUUUUUUUUCUACUGUAAAACCUGCAUUAUCGACAGCAGUGUACUAGCCUAGUACGUCGGAUAAUUAGCUAGUGUAAAAAUUGUAUAUAGGGUAUAUAGGUUUUUUUUAUUAAAUGUGGUUGUACAUA
This is a long non-coding RNA of Diabrotica virgifera virgifera (western corn rootworm), 1223 nucleotides long. RefSeq lists it as uncharacterized. The transcript has 2 exons. NCBI's taxonomy places the organism in Eukaryota, Metazoa, Arthropoda, Insecta, Coleoptera, Chrysomelidae. The record is from RefSeq and is a predicted model, not a curated record.